Molecule: long non-coding RNA, 2694 nt
Organism: Apis cerana (Asiatic honeybee)
Lineage: Eukaryota; Metazoa; Arthropoda; Insecta; Hymenoptera; Apidae
Source: RefSeq, a predicted model, not a curated record
UUUGUCCUGCCAAAGGAAAGAAAGAAUUUACUCGCAAUAUCGUAUUAAUCAUAUAAUUGUAAAACUAACGGGAAUGGAAUGGAAUACGAUGAUAUGGAGAUUUAUAAAAGUUAAGAAAAAUCUUUUAACGUUGGCGUUAAAAUAUUACACGAUGUCUCAUCGAUUUUUUUAAUUACAUUCAAAUAUUUGAUUAUUAUCCCUUUCUUUAGACAACGAUAUCUCAAAAACUGGAAACCAUAUCGAAAUAAACGAGAAACCAUUUCAAGAGGCAAGAUUCCGUAUUUUUAAUGGCCAUUCAUUCGUUGACUGGAAGUCAUCAACUUCGAAGUUAUAGCGGUUCAAAUUUUAAUCAAAUUAAUUAUAUAUUACGUUGAUUAAAAUAAGUAAAACAUAUAUAUGAAAAAUAUGUAUUUUCAUGCAAAUCCAUAUUACGAAUGAUACUUUUAUGGAAAUACAAAUCUUUUCUCCACGUUAACGACACAAAUAAAUUUCGAAGAAAAUUCAUUUAACCGAGGAAAACUAUCCUCGAUGCAAAAAUCGAAGGGAUAGAAAAUGGGAUGAAAUUUUCAAGGGAUGGUUUCGCAAAGAGCAGGCUAAUGAAAAGGAAGACACAACGUGCCAGAUAUUCCGCGAACUUUCCCCAUUACGUCACAUGGAUAUCUCCAUGCUUGGAGCAAAGUAGGUGGCGGAUAAAGUGACAGCAAUGUGCAGGCUACAUUAAAGACACCUGAGUGCACGUGUUCGAAGCGUUAGACUUCCUGUAUGGCUGUUACUAGGGCUUCCUUGUCUGAUAUUUGUCUCUUCGAAGUCAGCCCAACGUAUGAUAAUCCCAUAAAAGGGACGUGACAUCUUAGAAAUACCUUUGUCGUUAAUUAUGAUGGUAUUUCCGGUAGUUGGAAAGACUUUUAUCGAAGUGGUUUUUAUUAUUUUUUAAAAUUUAAUUACAAUCAAUGGUUGAAUUGUGUAUAUUACGUUACUUUUGUACAUAGAUACGUUACAUUUUAUAAUUUUAUGUAUUUGUACAAUUUUAUGAAUUAAUUAUUUGUGUGGAGAGAAGAUAUGUGGAUAUAUUUAAUUCGUAUAAAAUCAUUAUUUUUAAAAACAUUCGUUUCGUACGAUUGAAUAAUCGUAUUUUAUUUAAAUUAUUGUUCUUUGGAUAAGCUUCGUGUAUUUAUUUCUGGAAAUUUAUAAAUUAAUUACUUGUGUAAAAUUUGUAUUAAAAUAUUACUUUUAGAUUUUGAUUUCGGAGAUUGAACGUUCAUAUUUAUUACGAUUCUCGUUUAAAUUAUUAUUAUUUGAACAAAUAUUAUAUAUUCGCUUGUGUACAAUUUAUACAAUUACUUUUUAAAUCUUCAUUUCGAUGAAGAGUUGUAUUUUAUUUUCAGCUACAAUUUUUAUUUAAAUUAAUUUAUAUACUUUUUUCUUUCUUAAAGAUCAAUUAAUAUAAAACAUUCUUAAUAUUAAUAUUUAAAAUAAUUCUCGAAAAUUUAAAUUACUUUUGAAACAAGUUUUAUAUUUUUUUGUAACAAUAAUAACGAUACUUUUAAUGAUCACGCACAAUUCAUUUCAUCCAUAAAAUAUUGCUCUAUGAAAUAAUAUCUCACAUUAAUGCGUGUGUAAUUUGAAUGAAAUUUAAGAGAACAGAAUUAUUAUUACAUGAACGAAUUGAAUAUCGCUAUGAAAGGGCCAUUGAAAAAUAAUAUCUCUGUAAAAUUGAACAUUGCAGAAAGUUUCUUCGUUGCCUGUCUCGUCCAUAACAAAUAUUCCCUGAAACGUGCAUUAGGGACAUCUGAAUCAGGCUAUUACACGCGAAAUGUCGCCAUUACCACUUUGGUGUUUUAACAUUCGUGUUCAUACCGGCGAUUCUUCUGAUCGUGAAAUAUUUUCGUGCAGGAAGAUCCUCGAAUUGAUAGUCGACUCUCGAUUAUUCGAAUCUUUAUAAAAGGCGUCACCCACAACACGUAGAUUGCGACGUCCUUAAUGGGGAGCUGUGAAACGGAGAUAUUUAAUGGAGCAAGGGGGAAAAAUGAAAAGGAUAGAGUCGAAAAGUAAAGUAGAGACUUUCCCAAGGGUUAGAAACAAGAUAUUUUAUUUCGACGAGAGAAAAGUUUCAUAUUUCUAUACGACAAGCUGUCUAAAUAAUGGAUGGACUUUUCGAUCGAAAAGUUUUAAUCGCACGCUUUUAAUGCCCGUCUACACUAACUGCGGUGCGUUAACGUAGAAUGUGCAUCAGCGUGAAAAAGCUUUCGACCCUCGAAUGUCUGUCUCUCGUCUCGGUUUCUUCCCGCCACGAUGAAAGCCUAUCUUCUCCACCGGAGGAGACAGUUAUGUAAACGCAUACGUACGCCCUACUUGAAUUGUUCUCCGCGCGGCGGCGACGAGAUGUAAGAUCGAUUCGACAUCCCCGCAUUCCUCCCGAAUCCUGCAACCCUUCGACUCUAACGCGUCUCUCCUCCUACUAUUUCCAUUUCCAUUUUCAGCAGACGCACAACAAAAUUUAUCUAUUACACGUUGCCCCGGUUUCCUUCGAUUACGCCCUGUGAAAUAAAAAUAGUCAAAUGACGACAAACCGCAAAGAGGAAACCCCCGCUUGAACGUUCCAUCCACUUGAUGCGGGACCACGCAACAAUAACGCUCGAGAAAUCACAACCGCCCCUCGUACGUACAACUUACCCCAACUCACCCUUCCGUGCG